Molecule: unclassified non-coding RNA, 1240 nt
Filed under: Leishmania donovani
Lineage: Eukaryota; Euglenozoa; Kinetoplastea; Trypanosomatida; Trypanosomatidae
Description: gene:unknown
Source: RNAcentral
ACCUGUUCAUCAUUCCCUGCACUGCGUGUCUGCUGUCGUGUCGUCUUCGUCCUCCCUCCAUUUAUUGCCUGGUCCUCCGCCGUGUUUUCGCGGUGAGGUAAGAGAGGGGAAGGGAGGGGGCACACACAGCUCAGCGCGCGGUAUUGCAGGGUCCAGUGCACCCCCCUCCCCCACACUCCACUAUCCCUCUGCCAAUGCCGAGCCGCCUCCGCUGGCGACAGGGCUAGACACCUGCGACGUGGGGGAGGAGGUCAGAACGAUGUAUCGCUACGGAUGUCGGUGGCCAUGCUGUGGAUGGUGCGCCGCCGGAGAGACCUGCGACGGUGCACACGCUUGCACCAUACAUAUGAUGGGCAAGGCGCCAAUGUGACUCGAGCACAUCUCACCCGGCCCUCACCACCUACAGAGGCGGGGAGCCUGAGCCGCCCCCGAGGGGGAUGCACCAGGUGGCGGCCUGCGGAGCGGGGGUGGGUGGGUGGUGUUUGAGGCAGAGGCCAUGCUCUCAGACGACUGCGUUGGCACACUGCGCUGAAACGCCUGUGUCUACGGCGGCUUCGCAUCAUGCGGUGGGGAGCGUGUGACAGGGCUGCGCGGGGGAGGCGUUAGGGUGGAGUGGAGCUGGCCUCGUGAUCUGUGGCAGAGAGGCGGGUACACAUUAGCAGAAGGGAAUACGCGUUGUCUUCUGCCUUUUUUCUUUCCACGGACGUCGCCGUGUGCCCGCGCUCUCUCUCCCGCUCCCGCCGUCCCCCUUCGCCCAUCUCUGUGACACCGCCUCUUGAUUCUUGCGCGUAUGUGGGCAGGGAUGUGUGUGUGUGUGUGUGGAUGAGGACUGCUUUGUGCGCUCUUUUCUUGCUCAGUUCGCACGGCAUGUGUUUGCGCCCUUCUCCUUUGGAGCUGGCUCUCUCACCGUUGGCUGCUUCAGUGUGGCUGCGCACGCACACAUGCAUACGAAACUCUUGUGGGUAUGAUGGGAUAGUAUGUGUUUCUGUGUGGCGCUGUCCGACUUUUGGCGUGAAUUCUCUGUGAAUGUGGUUGAGAAUGUUUUGCCGUGAGUCUUGAUGUACACUGUGCUGUCGCGGACGAUGUUGUCCUGUGAGGAAAGGAAAAAUACGUCGCCAGGCGCACCUGCGGUGAAGGUGCGAAUUGCGAUGUGCGUGUGUGCGUAUAUAUCUCUAUCCCUUACCAUUCUCCUCCCCCUUCCCCUCACCCGUCGGCUCCUGCCCCUCGCCUUGCCACGCAG